AUGCACAUUGGGCAUUACAGGGGAUUCAGAUUUGAGGCCUACUGGGCAAGUCUUAAUGGUUUCAAAGAUGUGGUCCAAAAGGCUUGGUGCAAGCCUGUUUUUUCAACUGACGCUGUCAAGAGUCCGCAUAUCAAGCUAUCUAGGACCACAAGAGUACUGAAGCAAUGGAGUAACAGUCAUGGACAAGAGCAGGGGUUUAAAGAGAAGCUUGCAACAGAGGUGAUUUUCCAAUUGAAUCUUGCUCAGGAGGACAGGGAGUUGACUCAUGUUGAAAGAGCAAUUCGCACCACCCUCAAAAAACAGAUUGCACGGGUUUGCAGCAAUUGA
This 327-nucleotide ribosomal RNA is filed under the name Triticum aestivum (bread wheat). RNAcentral's name for it is "partial small subunit ribosomal RNA". The record is from RNAcentral. Lineage: Eukaryota; Viridiplantae; Streptophyta; Magnoliopsida; Poales; Poaceae.